Peromyscus maniculatus bairdii (prairie deer mouse) is the source of this 221-nucleotide non-coding RNA. NCBI's taxonomy places the organism in Eukaryota, Metazoa, Chordata, Mammalia, Rodentia, Cricetidae. The record is from RefSeq and is a predicted model, not a curated record.
GUUUUCUUUUCCUGAUGCUUAGGAUCUCAGGGUGGUGCUCCACCCCCGGGUAUUUUUUCUUCUCCUGUUUACUCAAAUAUGCAGCAAAAUCUCCAAAAUUGCUUGCAAAAUAAAGUAACUUCUGAAGAACUAAAUAGCAUAAUUCAAAAUAUAAUGACGUGGGUUGUAGCUACAGUAACCAGUAUAUUAUAUCCAGCCAUCACAAAAUAUGAAGAAAGAGU